Molecule: ribosomal RNA, 427 nt
Filed under: uncultured bacterium
Lineage: Bacteria
Description: partial 16S ribosomal RNA
Rfam family: Bacterial small subunit ribosomal RNA
Source: RNAcentral
UGGGGAAUAUUGGACAAUGGGCGAAAGCCUGAUCCAGCCAUGCCGCGUGUGUGAAGAAGGUCUUCGGAUUGUAAAGCACUUUAAGUUGGGAGGAAGGGCAUUAACCUAAUACGUUAGUGUUUUGACGUUACCGACAGAAUAAGCACCGGCUAACUCUGUGCCAGCAGCCGCGGUAAUACAGAGGGGGCAAGCGUUAAUCGGAAUUACUGGGCGUAAAGCGCGCGUAGGUGGUUUGUUGAGUUGGAUGUGAAAUCCCCGGGCUGAACCUGGGAACUGCAUUCAAAACUGACUGACUAGAGUAUGGUAGAGGGUGGUGGAAUUUCCUGUGUAGCGGUGAAAUGCGUAGAUAUAGGAAGGAACACCAGUGGCGAAGGCGACCACCUGGACUAAUACUGACACUGAGGUGCGAAAGCGUGGGGAGCAAACA